RNAcentral lists this ribosomal RNA (460 nucleotides) under uncultured bacterium. RNAcentral's name for it is "partial 16S ribosomal RNA". It matches the Rfam family "Bacterial small subunit ribosomal RNA", at positions 338 to 795 of the family's 1533-position model. The record is from RNAcentral.
CCUACGGGGUGCUGCAGUGAGGAAUAUUGGUCAAUGGGCGCUAGCCUGAACCAGCCACGUAGCGUGAAGGAUGACUGCCCUAUGGGUUGUAAACUCCUUUUACAUGGGAAUAAAGUGCAGUAUGUAUACUGCUUUGCAUGUACCUUAUGAAUAAGGAUCGGCUACCUCCGUGCCAGCAGCCGCGGUAAUACGGAGGGUUCGAGCGUUAUCCGGAUUUAUUGGGUUUAAAGGGAGCGUAGGCGGGUUGUUAAGUCAGUUGUGAAAGUUUGCGGUUCAACCGUAAAAUUGCAGUUGAUACUGGCAUCCUUGAGUACUGGAGAGGUAGGCGGAAUUCGUGGUGUAGCGGGGAAAUGCUUAGAUAUCACGAAGAACUACGAUUGCGAAGGCAGCUUGCUGCAGCGGAACUGACGCUGAUGCUCGAAAGCGCGGGUAUCGAACAGGAUUAGAUACCCGGGUAGUC